GAUGAACGCUGGCGGCGUGCCUAAUACAUGCAAGUCGAGCGAACAGAUGAGGAGCUUGCUCCUCUGACGUUAGCGGCGGACGGGUGAGUAACACGUGGAUAACCUACCUAUAAGACUGGGAUAACUUCGGGAAACCGGAGCUAAUACCGGAUAAUAUAUUGAACCGCAUGGUUCAAUAGUGAAAGACGGUUUUGCUGUCACUUAUAGAUGGAUCCGCGCCGCAUUAGCUAGUUGGUAAGGUAACGGCUUACCAAGGCAACGAUGCGUGGCCGACCUGAGAGGGUGAUCGGCCACACUGGAACUGAGACACGGUCCAGACUCCUACGGGAGGCAGCAGUAGGGAAUCUUCCGCAAUGGGCGAAAGCCUGACGGAGCAACGCCGCGUGAGUGAUGAAGGUCUUCGGAUCGUAAAACUCUGUUAUUAGGGAAGAACAAAUGUGUAAGUAACUAUGCACGUCUUGACGGUACCUAAUCAGAAAGCCACGGCUAACUACGUG
RNAcentral lists this ribosomal RNA (497 nucleotides) under uncultured bacterium. RNAcentral describes it as "partial 16S ribosomal RNA". It matches the Rfam family "Bacterial small subunit ribosomal RNA", at positions 28 to 507 of the family's 1533-position model. The record is from RNAcentral.